GCCAUCACAGGCUAGGAGCCUCUCUGGAGCAGCCUCCUCCCGUCCCUAGAGUGCACAAUCGGUGCCCCACUGGGUCACUGAAGAAGACAGGAUGAAGGUGGCCAUGGCCUGCUUUGCAAGGUACUCACUUCUCAGGACAUGCAUCUGAGCAGCAUCAAAGGGGCCUGGCCAGUCAGGGCAGAGUUACUCUGACGGAGUCUAAGACCAGGCAGGUCUCCUUGUCAUGGGAGAAGCAGGGACAUGCCAGGUCAAGCAGAGAAGUGGCCCCACCUGCUGACCCUGAGGAAGCUGGUCCCAGCGUCUGGCCCUCUGCCCCACACAGCCCUGUAUGAGGACGUGGCCUCAUGUGCCCCUCUCCUUCUCCUUCUUCUUGCUUGUCCUCUGGCUGCUGAGCUCGCCCAGCUUCUUGUCCAGCCUCCUCUGCAGCUGGGCCCUCUUGGCCGGGUCCAGGGCCCUAUCCCUGGUCCCACUGCCUGCAUAGAGCACUCCUUCCCGACUGAUCCUCUGCCGGGCGUGGGCAUGAGCCUUUUCACCGCAGCCGUGGAUCUGAAAAGACACAGGAGUCAGGAAUGGAGUCGUGAAAAACUUAGCAACUGUGAAAGGCUCCAGAAAGUACAUCUCAAAUGUGUGCUGCACGGUACCUCUGCCGAAGCCUUGGAUCUCAACACACAACACGCAUGCUCAGCACUGCCCCACCAUCACACCAGAGUGGCCAGCCUCUGCUGCGAGUCCAGCCACUGGAGGAGCUGGGUGCUUCACUGUAUGUAUGUGACUCCAUUCUCACAAAGGCCUCUUGUUCUAACGACGACAGACACCAGACACCGUGGGGCACUUUCUGCCCAGCGCUCCUCAGAAUUUAUCAAGUGGUACAUCUUUGGGCUGUGUUGUGUUAGACAAGUGUCCAGAUGACUGGAUGCAAAUCUGUUCUCAUCUUUAAUAAAUGGUAAAAUUUCACAUAUUCCAAAGAACUUCUAAAACAAAAUUUUAUGACUUACUAGUAAAUGUUUGAUUGCACAUUAUGUAUCUACAUACUCAGGGCCAGGGAAAUCUCUCAGGAGAAGGCAGUGGGAUGGCUCAUUGGUUAAGAACACUGAUCUCCAACCCUGGCGACUUGAGUUCCAUCUGUGGAACAAAGAACACUGACCCUGCAAGUCAUCCUUGGACCCCCAGCUGUGCUACGGCACAUGCACGCACAUGUACACAAUAAAUAAAUGUGAGUGUCUUAA
Molecule: long non-coding RNA, 1226 nt
Organism: Peromyscus eremicus (cactus mouse)
Lineage: Eukaryota; Metazoa; Chordata; Mammalia; Rodentia; Cricetidae
Exons: 2
Source: RefSeq, a predicted model, not a curated record